AUUGAACGCUGGCGGAAUGCUUUACACAUGCAAGUCGAACGGUAGAGGGGGCAACCCCUCGAGAGUGGCGAACGGGUGAGUAAUAUAUCGGAACGUGCCCAGUCGUGGGGGAUAACGUAGCGAAAGUUACGCUAAUACCGCAUACGAUCUACGGAUGAAAGCGGGGGACCGUAAGGCCUCGCGCGAUUGGAGCGGCCGAUAUCAGAUUAGGUAGUUGGUGGGGUAAAGGCUCACCAAGCCAACGAUCUGUAGCUGGUCUGAGAGGACGACCAGCCACACUGGAACUGAGACACGGUCCAGACUCCUACGGGAGGCAGCAGUGGGGAAUUUUGGACAAUGGACGCAAGUCUGAUCCAGCCAUUCCGCGUGCAGGAUGAAGGCCCUCGGGUUGUAAACUGCUUUUGUACGGAACGAAAAGGUUUCCAUUAAUACUGGGAGCUCAUGACGGUACCGUAAGAAUAAGCACCGGCUAACUACGUGCCAGCCGCCGCCGUAA
Molecule: ribosomal RNA, 496 nt
Filed under: uncultured bacterium
Lineage: Bacteria
Description: partial 16S ribosomal RNA
Rfam family: Bacterial small subunit ribosomal RNA
Source: RNAcentral